AGAUCUGCUUGCAGAUUAAAGGAUUUGUUGGAAGAGAUCAGUGAUUCCGAGUACUUUAGAGAGGCACGUAGCAUCCCAGCGAAGGGAACAGAAAGAAGGUGUGAAGAAAUUUACAGCAAUUGUAAUAAAGGGUGCUUGCCUGCAAGAGCUGGGGAAAAAAAAUUACUGGUUUACCUUAAAAAUGUAACUCUGGAAGGUCAAGAGAAGGAAAGCAGCAAAUGUAGCUUCUGUUCUAAUUCUGUCCAUGAGGGCUUGGCAAGGCAGUGUGAACAUAGGCUUAAAAAGUCGUGUAAGAGGUCCAGUAGUAAAUUAAGACAUGAAGGACAGAAAAGUGAGAGACGAUCCGGGGAAGAGGAGACAAAUGCUUGCAAAAUGAAGAAAAAGCGCAAAAAGCUUUCUUCUAAUCUUUUAUCUGAUGAAUGUGGCUUUUCAGAGACGGACAGUUGCAUGCAGCUGGAGUCGCUCAGAAAGAUACAAAGAAAAUGUAAGAAAAUGUUCCACAACAAAGUGAAAUUCAAGACACUUCACACCUCCACGGCAGGAUCAGAUGUUACCCCUCAUGAUGGCUCGCCACUUCAGGAGACCCUCCAGCGGACAGGAGAUGAGAGGAAAUUAAUGUUGAGAAGAGAGAUGGAUGCAGAUGUCAGAGGAUGCCCUCUAUUUCCUCUUGAGUUAAUUCAGACAAACCCCUGCUCAGAUACUUUCUGUGGAGCAGAGCCCAGAAGAGGAUGCUAAACAGCUACUAUGUAAUAGCUCUUUUUAUAUAGAAAUGGGAGAAGAAAGCCCUUUGACUCUUAAAUGGUAUAUGAA
Molecule: non-coding RNA, 810 nt
Organism: Nipponia nippon (crested ibis)
Lineage: Eukaryota; Metazoa; Chordata; Aves; Pelecaniformes; Threskiornithidae
Source: RefSeq, a predicted model, not a curated record